This is a long non-coding RNA of Micropterus salmoides (largemouth bass), 779 nucleotides long. RefSeq lists it as uncharacterized. Lineage: Eukaryota; Metazoa; Chordata; Actinopteri; Centrarchiformes; Centrarchidae. The record is from RefSeq and is a predicted model, not a curated record. The transcript is spliced from 2 exons.
UUUGUCUGUACCAGUACAUGUAGUAAUAUUGAUCAUCAUCUUGUCUACACUGCAAAGUUACAUCUGGGUCUCCUUCACGACUGAAUACAAAUGGAAGCUGGAGAACUUUAACACCAGCGGUGGAAUCUGUAAGGGUGUACCCCGCCUUUCGCCCGAUACCAGCUGGGAUUGGCUCCAGUCCCCCGUGACCCUGUACGCAGGAUAAGCGGUCGACGAUGGAUGGAUGGAUGGAUGGACUCUCUCUUUCUCUCUCUCUCCCUCUCUCUCUCCCUCCCUCUCUCUCUUCCUCUAUCUAUCCCUCCCAGUUGGCAGCUGUGGGCAUUACCUAUGUUUCUCUUGGUUUGGAGUCUUCCCUCACCUGCCUGAGAUCUGCAGUCUACACACCUGGCCUGACCGUGAUCAAGCCAAUCAGCUCCCCUUCAUAAAUCCAGGCCUCACCUCCAGUCCCCACCAGAGUGUUGAGUCAUACACAGUAGGGGUGCGAUUAAUCAACAAAAAUUGAUGAUGAAAUUAGUUGCCAAUGACUUUAAUUAUCAAUUAGAUCAUGAUGUCAUUGAGCUGAAGCGACACCGUCCGUCAAGUCCAGUUAAAGGUCCAGUGUGUAAUAUUUAGGAGGAUCAGCUCCACUCCAACACUGCUCUGGACUUUCCCCCCAACUCAACGCUUUCCUAAUCUGAUAUUUAUUAAUAAACUGCUUAAAAUAGAUUUGUAAUAACUAUCAUUUAAUUUGUUGUCUGAUACUGUUUUCACAGUUGCUUCCAAUAAAAACUUUAAGGCAA